GACGAACGCUGGCGGCGUGCCUAAUACAUGCAAGUAGAACGCUGAAGAGAGGAGCUUGCUCUUCUUGGAUGAGUUGCGAACGGGUGAGUAACGCGUAGGUAACCUGCCUUGUAGCGGGGGAUAACUAUUGGAAACGAUAGCUAAUACCGCAUAACAAUGGAUGACACAUGUCAUUUAUUUGAAAGGGGCAAUUGCUCCACUACAAGAUGGACCUGCGUUGUAUUAGCUAGUAGGUGGGGUAAUGGCUCACCUAGGCGACGAUACAUAGCCGACCUGAGAGGGUGAUCGGCCACACUGGGACUGAGACACGGCCCAGACUCCUACGGGAGGCAGCAGUAGGGAAUCUUCGGCAAUGGGGGCAACCCUGACCGAGCAACGCCGCGUGAGUGAAGAAGGUUUUCGGAUCGUAAAGUUCUGUUGUAAGUCAAGAACGGGUGUGAGAGUGGAAAGUUCACACUGUGACGGUAGCUUACCAGAAAGGGACGGCUAACUACGUG
RNAcentral lists this ribosomal RNA (497 nucleotides) under uncultured bacterium. Its description in RNAcentral is "partial 16S ribosomal RNA". It matches the Rfam family "Bacterial small subunit ribosomal RNA", at positions 28 to 507 of the family's 1533-position model. The record is from RNAcentral.